Molecule: ribosomal RNA, 292 nt
Filed under: uncultured bacterium
Lineage: Bacteria
Description: partial 16S ribosomal RNA
Rfam family: Bacterial small subunit ribosomal RNA
Source: RNAcentral
GUGUCAGCCGCCGCGGUAAUACGUAGGGGGCGAGCGUUGUCCGGAAUCAUUGGGCGUAAAGCGCGUGUAGGCGGCUCGAUAAGUCUGGUGUGAAAUCUUGGGGCUCAACCCCAAGCCUGCACUGGAUACUGUCGAGCUUGAGUCCGGGAGGGGAGAGCGGAAUUCCUAGUGUAGCGGUGAAAUGCGCAGAUAUUAGGAAGAACACCGGUGGCGAAGGCGGCUCUCUGGAACGGUACUGACGCUGAGACGCGAAAGCGUGGGGAGCGAACAGGAUUAGAAACCCUCGUAGUCC